This 191-nucleotide ribosomal RNA is filed under the name uncultured Lactobacillus sp. Its description in RNAcentral is "partial 16S ribosomal RNA". It matches the Rfam family "Bacterial small subunit ribosomal RNA", at positions 338 to 520 of the family's 1533-position model. Lineage: Bacteria; Bacillati; Bacillota; Bacilli; Lactobacillales; Lactobacillaceae. The record is from RNAcentral.
CCUACGGGAGGCAGCAGUAGGGAAUCUUCCACAAUGGACGCAAGUCUGAUGGAGCAACGCCGCGUGAGUGAAGAAGGCUUUCGGGUCGUAAAACUCUGUUGUUGGAGAAGAAUGGUCGGCUAGAGUAACUGUUGUCGGCGUGACGGUAUCCAACCAGAAAGCCACGGCUAACUACGUGCCAGCAGCCGCGG